AUUGAACGCUGGCGGCAUGCCUUACACAUGCAAGUCGAACGGCAGCGCGGGGGCAACCCUGGCGGCGAGUGGCGAACGGGUGAGUAAUAUAUCGGAACGUACCCAAGAGUGGGGGAUAACGUAGCGAAAGUUACGCUAAUACCGCAUACGAUCUAAGGAUGAAAGUGGGGGACCGCAAGGCCUCACGCUCCUGGAGCGGCCGAUAUCUGAUUAGCUAGUUGGUGGGGUAAAGGCCUACCAAGGCAUCGAUCAGUAGCUGGCCUGAGAGGACGACCAGCCACACUGGGACUGAGACACGGCCCAGACUCCUACGGGAGGCAGCAGUGGGGAAUUUUGGACAAUGGGGGGCAACCCUGAUCCAGCAAUGCCGCGUGAGUGAAGAAGGCCUC
This 389-nucleotide ribosomal RNA is filed under the name uncultured bacterium. RNAcentral describes it as "bacterial SSU rRNA". It matches the Rfam family "Bacterial small subunit ribosomal RNA", at positions 29 to 418 of the family's 1533-position model. The record is from RNAcentral.